UCAGCUGUCAUGAUGCCUUCUUGAGUGACAAACAAAGAAGGUGCAAUGUCUGCUGGCA
This 58-nucleotide microRNA precursor is filed under the name Lingula anatina. Its description in RNAcentral is "Lan-Mir-1989-P2_pre stem-loop". Lineage: Eukaryota; Metazoa; Brachiopoda; Lingulata; Lingulida; Lingulidae. The record is from RNAcentral.